This 438-nucleotide ribosomal RNA is filed under the name uncultured bacterium. Its description in RNAcentral is "bacterial SSU rRNA". It matches the Rfam family "Bacterial small subunit ribosomal RNA", at positions 352 to 782 of the family's 1533-position model. The record is from RNAcentral.
CAGUGGGGAAUAUUGGACAAUGGGCGAAAGCCUGAUCCAGCCAUGCCGCGUGUGUGAAGAAGGCCUUCGGGUCGUAAAGCACUUUAAGUUGGGAGGAAGGGCUCAUAGCGAAUACCUGUGAGUUUUGACGUUACCAACAGAAUAAGCACCGGCUAACUUCGUGCCAGCAGCCGCGGUAAUACGAAGGGUGCAAGCGUUAAUCGGAAUUACUGGGCGUAAAGCGCGCGUAGGUGGCUUGAUAAGUUGGAUGUGAAAUCCCCGGGCUCAACCUGGGAACUGCAUCCAAAACUGUCUGGCUAGAGUGCGGUAGAGGGUAGUGGAAUUUCCAGUGUAGCGGUGAAAUGCGUAGAUAUUGGAAGGAACACCAGUGGCGAAGGCGACUACCUGGACUGACACUGACACUGAGGUGCGAAAGCGUGGGGAGCAAACAGGAUUAGA